The sequence is a regulatory RNA element, 45 nucleotides long. It matches the Rfam family "Histone 3' UTR stem-loop". Rfam says of the family: The mRNAs of metazoan histone genes lack a poly-A tail. The record is from Rfam.
UAAUCGGCCCUUUUCAGGGCCACAAACAUUUUUAAAACGUUAGAA